CCUACGGGAGGCAGCAGUAGGGAAUCUUCCACAAUGGGCGAAAGCCUGAUGGAGCAACGCCGCGUGAGUGAUGAAGGCCUUCGGGUUGUAAAACUCUGUCAUUCGGGACGAACCGGAGUCUGAGGAAAUGCAGACUCUCUGACGGUACCGGAGGAGGAAGCCCCGGCUAACUACGUGCCAGCAGCCGCGGUAAUACGUAGGGGGCAAGCGUUGUCCGGAUUCACUGGGCGUAAAGCGCGCGCAGGCGGUGAUGUAAGUCUGAGGUGAAAACCCGAAGCUCAACUUCGGGACUGCCUUGGAUACUGCGUCACUUGAGGAUAGGAGAGGCAAGGGGAAUUCCACGUGUAGCGGUGAAAUGCGUAGAGAUGUGGAGGAACACCUGUGGCGAAGGCGCCUUGCUGGCCUAUUUCUGACGCUGAGGCGCGAAAGCGUGGGGAGCAAACAGGAUUAGAUACCCUGGUAGUCCACGCUGUAAACGAUGAGUGCUAGGUGUAGGUGGGCUCAUACCCAUCUGUGCCGGAGCUAACGCAUUAAGCACUCCGCCUUGGGAGUACGGUCGCAAGACUGAAACUCAAAGGAAUUGACGG
RNAcentral lists this ribosomal RNA (587 nucleotides) under uncultured bacterium. RNAcentral describes it as "bacterial SSU rRNA". It matches the Rfam family "Bacterial small subunit ribosomal RNA", at positions 338 to 916 of the family's 1533-position model. The record is from RNAcentral.